AUGGCUAGCAACGAUGAAGGACAGGGUUCUGGUGACUGCGACAACGUCUACCUGGCGGCAGAAGAAUUUUUGAGGGAAGCCGACGAUCAAGAGUUGAUGUUGCUGGGUCCACCUGUCACAUCGGAGAUUGAGACCGACAUCGAGACCGGCGCUGAGACUGAGACCGGCGCCGAGACUAGCGGAGCCGGUAUAGAACCGAAAGCAAAGAGGCAACGGCUUCCUAACAAGCUCAAGACUACUAGACUGGUGGUCACGGAGGUGGACGACGACAAUUUUGAGCCAAACGCGCCCGAGGAAGUGCGCGCGUGCUACGGCAAUCAAAUAGGCUGCACCAUACGGACAACCGCCACCAUCAACGAUGAGAAACUACAGAAGAUAGAUAAUAUGAGGCCCUCCCUCCUAAAGAAGCUGCACCAGAUAUUCUUGUUCCCGGGUCGGAAUGAAAAUGAUUAUAAAGAUCCAGAUAAGGACCCGACAAUGAAGAAGAUAAACAAACACGCCAUGACCAAGUUUAGCGACGCGUUGGCCGCCUGGAAAUCAAGGGUGAAAUAUCGGAUCGUCAACAAAAAGGAACCCUACUCCGAGAUUGUAAAGGAUAAUCCAACAAUCACGACAGAGAACUUUGAAAUAUUCAAGGCGGCUUGCGAGGCCGAAGCUGCCAAAAAAAAGUCGAAGUACAUGAAGGGGCUAAAACAGAGGAACAUUGGGUGCCACCACCUCGGAAGCCGUGGUUACGGCGGGAAGAGGUCCAUAUGA
Molecule: ribosomal RNA, 756 nt
Filed under: Triticum aestivum (bread wheat)
Lineage: Eukaryota; Viridiplantae; Streptophyta; Magnoliopsida; Poales; Poaceae
Description: partial small subunit ribosomal RNA
Source: RNAcentral